Molecule: transfer RNA, 68 nt
Filed under: Rhinogobius duospilus (white cheek goby)
Lineage: Eukaryota; Metazoa; Chordata; Actinopteri; Gobiiformes; Gobiidae
Also listed under: 3 other names
Description: tRNA-His
Rfam family: tRNA
About the family: Transfer RNA (tRNA) molecules are approximately 80 nucleotides in length. Their secondary structure includes four short double-helical elements and three loops (D, anti-codon, and T loops). Further hydrogen bonds mediate the characteristic L-shaped molecular structure. tRNAs have two regions of fundamental functional importance: the anti-codon, which is responsible for specific mRNA codon recognition, and the 3' end, to which the tRNAs corresponding amino acid is attached (by aminoacyl-tRNA synthetases). tRNAs cope with the degeneracy of the genetic code in two manners: having more than one tRNA (with a specific anti-codon) for a particular amino acid; and 'wobble' base-pairing, i.e. permitting non-standard base-pairing at the 3rd anti-codon position.
Source: RNAcentral
GUAGAUAUAGUUUAACAAAAUAUUAGAUUGUGAUUCUAAAGAUAGAGGUUAAAACCCCCUUAUCCACC